Molecule: ribosomal RNA, 1991 nt
Filed under: metagenome
Description: bacterial LSU rRNA
Rfam family: Bacterial large subunit ribosomal RNA
Source: RNAcentral
UCAAGCUACAAAGGGCGCAAGGAGAAUGCCUUGGCACUGGGAGCCGAUGAAAGACGUGGUAAGCUGCGAUAAGCUUCGGGGAGGAGCAAACAUCCUUUGAUCCGGAGAUUUCUGAAUGAGGAAACUCACCAGAGUUCAUACUCUGGUAUCCUGUACUGAAUCCAUAGGUACAGGAGGGGAACCGCCUGAACUGAAACAUCUAAGUAGGGCGAGGAAGAGACAUCAAACGAGAUUCCGUUAGUAGUGGCGAGCGAACGCGGAAGAGGGCAAACCGGAAGGAGAAAUCCUUCCGGGGUAUGGACCGCAUUUAGGACUUUAGCUGUUAAUCGAAUGGCAUGGGAAGGCCAACCAAAGAGUGUGAGAGUCACGUAGAUGAAAACGGCGAGAGCUGCGCGAGUUCCAGAGUACGGCCAGACACGUGAAACCUGGUCGGAAGAUGGGGGGACCACCCUCCAACCCUAAAUACUACCCAGUGACCGAUAGCGUAUAGUACUGUGAAGGAAAGGUGAAAAGGACCCCGGGAGGGGAGUGAAAUAGAACCUGAAACCUUGUGCCUACAAGCACAUAGAGCACAUCAACGUGUGAUAUGGUACUUUUUGUAGAACGGUCCGGCGAGCGAUUGUAUGUUGCGAGCUUAAGGUCUUAAGGACUGGAGGCGUAGCGAGAGCGAGUCUGAACAGGGCGUUCAGUAACAUGCAAUGGGCCCGAAACCGGGUGACCUACCCAUGAUCAGGCUGAAGUGAAAGUAAAAUUUCAUGGAGGGCCGAACCGACCUCCGUUGAAAAGGCGGCGGAUGAAUUGUGGGUAGCGGAGAAAUUCCAAUCGAACUCGGAGAUAGCUGGUUCUCCCCGAAAUAGCUUUAGGGCUAGCCUCAUAUUAGAUACCCGGAGGUAAAGCACUGAAUGGCCUAGCGCCCGAGAGGGUAGCGAAGCCUAUCAAACUAAGAAUGCCGGAGUAUUGAUGUAUGGGAGUCAGACAGUGUGAGAUAAAUCUCAUUGUCAAAAGGGAAACAGCCCAGAUCUACAGCUAAGGUCCCAAAUUGUAUCUAAGUGGAAAACGAUGUGGAAAUACGCAGACAACCAGGAUGUUGGCUCAGAAGCAGCCACUCAUUUAAAGAGUGCGUAAUAGCUCACUAGUCGAGAGUCUCUGCGCCGACAAUGUAACGGGGCUAAGUUAUAAACCGAAGCUGUGGAAUCCAUUUGGAUUGGUAGGAGAGCGUUCUGUAGGCCGUUGAAGAAGAAGGGUAACCAACUUUGGAGGUAUCAGAAGUGAGAAUGCAGGAAUAAGUAGCGAGAAAGGGGGCGAGAAUCCCCCUCGCCGGAAGACCAAGGUUUUCAGGGUAAAGCUUGUCUUCCCUGAGUAAGCCGGGACCUAAGCCCAGGCUAUAAUGCGUAGGCGAAUGGAAAACAGAUUAAUAUUUCUGUGCCAGUCAUUUAUUGUGAUGGAGGGACGCAGAAGGGUAUGCACGCGGACGAUCGGUUGUGUCCGUAGAAGUAUGUAGGAUGAUUUAGUAGGUAAAUCCAUUAAGUUAUAUCUGAGGUAUUAUAUACAGUCGUAAGAUGAAUGUGCAAAUCCCACGCUGCCAAGAAAAGCUUCUAGCGUUAAUAUUUGACUGCCCGUACUGUAAACCGACACAGGUGGUCAGGAUGAGAAAUCUAAGGCGGACAGGCUAACUCUCGUUAAGGAACUCUGCAAAAUAACCUCGUAACUUCGGGAGAAGAGGAGCCCUUGUGUGUGAGUAUACAUGCGAUACAAAGCGCACGAGGGUCGCAGUGAAGAGGCUCAAGCAACUGUUUAACAAAAACACAGGUCUAUGCUAAGCUGUAAGGCGAUGUGUAUAUGGGCUGACACCUGCCCAGUGCUGGAAGGUUAAGAGGAGGAGUGAGAGCUCCGAAUUGAAGCCCCAGUGAACGGCGGCCGUAACUAUAACGGUCCUAAGGUAGCGAAAUUCCUUGUCGGGUAAGUUCCGACCUGCACGAAUGGUGUAAUGA